Pseudophryne corroboree (corroboree frog) is the source of this 864-nucleotide long non-coding RNA. RefSeq lists it as uncharacterized. NCBI's taxonomy places the organism in Eukaryota, Metazoa, Chordata, Amphibia, Anura, Myobatrachidae. The record is from RefSeq and is a predicted model, not a curated record. The transcript is spliced from 3 exons.
UCAUGUGCCGUGCCUCCCUUUUCCGAGCACCUUCGGAUGCCAGGGUGGAAUUCUGGCCACAGUCCGUCCCUGGGUAGAGGUAUGAAGCAGUGAAAAGAAUGGAGACGAAUGCCAAUGGAGAAGUUGCCCAUCAGCUUUGAGGUUGCCAAGCAACAGACAAUGAGGGGAGCUGUUCUUGGCGCUGCCUGGUGAUGUCGGGAGCCCGUAACGCCAAUUGCCUGCACGUGGACCCGGCUGCACCGAGCGGCUUGGAGCAGACGGGGCAGAGCCACUGGAUGGACUGACAGAGCACACCUGGAUUAACUGUGCACCUCUGGAUGGACACAGAUGCCCCUUGCUGGACACAGCAGCCCCCUGAUGGAUGGACAGAGCACCCCUGGAAGACAUAGGCAGCCCCUUUAUGGACGGAUACAGCAGCCUCUGGUCGGACACAGCAACCCCAGGCCCUAGAUCAGGGGUGGGGAACCUUUUUUCUACCAACGGGCAUUUGGGUAUUUAUAAAAUCCUUCGGGGGCCAUAGAAAAAUUAUCAACUUAAAAAUUACCCCCCCCCAGUAGUUAUGCCCCCAGUAGUUAUGCCCCUUAGAGGUAGAGUGCGCGCACCGAAGGCGCGCGCAGCAAAAAAUGGAUGUGGCCAAUUAAUAUGGGACGUGAUCCACAUAUGCCCCCACAGUGCCAGAUACAUAAAUGCCCCCACAGUGCUAGAUAUACAAAUGCCCCCACAGUGCCAGAUACACAAAUGCCCCCACAGUGCCAGAUACACAAAUGCCCCCACACAUGUCCCCCCACACCACUGUGCUGCUCACCGCUGCUGCUGCUCCGUCCGGCUGCGGCGUGUCUCAGCUGUCAAGGCAGGGAGGAGAGC